This is a long non-coding RNA of Etheostoma spectabile (orangethroat darter), 305 nucleotides long. RefSeq lists it as uncharacterized. The record is from RefSeq and is a predicted model, not a curated record. The transcript has 2 exons. Lineage: Eukaryota; Metazoa; Chordata; Actinopteri; Perciformes; Percidae.
UUUGCUGUAAGUUUCACGCUGUGGAACUGCAUAGAUAUAAAAACAGUCCAACAUGGACAAGUCAGCUGAAGGAUGUGUGUGUGGAAGAGGUUAAGGAGUAGACAGAUGUGCGGGUGUUUUGAUGCGUGAAGGAGAAGAACAAUGCAUCCUAAUCCAAGAAGUUUUAAGCCUCUUUAAGAAAUGUCAUAUAACAUCCUAAAGGAUAUCAUGUGAAUCCUGUCAUUUGUUACAGAUGUGUGUUAAUGACCAUAAGAACUCUAAUGCUGAUGAUGGGUCUUAUAAGCACUACAAGCUUAUUUUACUGG